GUCUCCGUUGGUGAACCAGCGGAGGGAUCA
This 30-nucleotide ribosomal RNA is filed under the name Fusarium sp. SGLAf73. RNAcentral describes it as "partial 18S ribosomal RNA". The record is from RNAcentral. Lineage: Eukaryota; Fungi; Ascomycota; Sordariomycetes; Hypocreales; Nectriaceae.